GGUUACCGAUGCUGUGAGGCGGCGGAGGGGAAGGUGCCGCCGUCCCCUUAGCGGGGUGGACGAGGGUCUCGGCCCGACUGGGUCGGGACGUAGCGGCCCCGCACCACACCCAGGUGGCCGCAGGCGAGAGUGCCCGCCGGGUGAGGUUGCCUGCCAAGGUGGGGCUGCCUGUCCGGGCGGGAGGCUCAUUCGGCGCCUUUAGAGAGCCCGUUGUCCUCCUUGCGGUGUGAAAAAGAAAUAAUAAAAAUGAGUGAACCAGACCAUGGAACAUUCUUUACAACUCGUAGGAUGAGUGAUGUAGAAAAUCUGGUGAUUCCUAUAAGAGAUGGCCCUUUCAGCUCUAAGUAUAAACCUGUUGACUACAAACAUCUAUAUGAACUUGCUGCAGUAGAAAAAAUGGCAUCUGAAAAAAUUCAAUUAAAGAUUGAAAAAACAGAGCAAAUUUCAAAAAAUAACAAAGAGCGAAUGCUGCUGAAACAGCAUUGGCAAGUGUGGUGGCAAGAGCAUAAAAGACUGAGUGAGAACAGUCAAAAAGCAGAAGCAGAAAUAAAGUCUUUUCUUGAUGAAGAAAGCCAUAAGUACAACUUUUUUCUGCAUAUGAAGGACUUGGAGCAUAAAUUAUCAGAGGAGCGGGAUACAUACCAAACAAAUACUAUAGCUCCUAUCUGGCAACUAAAAGAGAAUUUGAAAUUAUGGCUGAUUGAAAUGCAGUGUUACGUCUCAGAAGAAUCUUGUCUGAAAUCUAAGAUCAAUCCAGUUGAGAUGUUACAACAGAUCAAAUUUGUGAAGAAGCAACAGAAGGCAAUUUUGGAAUUCCUUAUUCUUGAAAGUUUGGCUUUGGAAAGAGAGAUUGAAGACUAUAAAACAAAACAUUUUUCAUCACAGGCAUUAGCACAUUCUUUUGAAGAGAAAAAUGGACUUUUCCUUGAAGUUCCUUCAGCACUACUGUCUUUGGAAUGCCCCUGCCCUGAUUUGAAGACCUUCCUUAUCAAUGAAUACCGAAAGCUUGCAAGCGGGUACUGGUCUAAGCUUCAAGAGAUUGAUCAACAGCUAGAAGUUUUAUGUAGGAACACUGAAUGGAAUGAAGAAGAUCAGUGGGUUUUCCAGACUGUUAUCAAUCAGUAUGCGAGUGAUCUUCACAAGAGGACGAAAUUGUGCCUCGAUGCGCUGCAGAGAUACCUUCCUCACAAAUCUAGGCGUGAUCUGGUUGUUCAUAAGAAAGCUUGGGAUCAUUACCAUUUCAUUAGGAGUCAGCGCAGAGCCUUGAUAUUAGAUUGGGCUCAAACUAGGAAAGCCUUUUUGCUUAAGGCAGUGACGACUGCUGCUGAAGCCUUGGCUGCUCAUGAGAUGGAAGUAGUGCUGGCUAACACCAGACAAAAGCAACAGGAAAUUUGUGCUAACCUGAAAGAAAAGGUUCUACAGUGGAAAGCACAGCAGGAAGAGGCUGCUAAACUCGAAGCUGCUAUAACUGCUAGAAGAAAAGAAGAGAAAGAUAAGAAAGAAAGGCUACAGAAAGAACAGGAAAUGAUUUGUAGAGCUCAGGAGAAAGAGCAAGUGAAAAAGUACUGGGCUGAGAAACAGCUCAAAUGGCAAAAACAGGAAGAGAAAAAUCUACAACAUCUAGAGGAAUUAAGAAAAUUAAUGGCUGAACAAGCAGUUAAAGACAGAGAAAGCAUGAGCAAGAUGAUGAUCUCCUUAGGAUAAAAUAGUAAUGAAAACAUGAAGCACCUUCUUAGGAGCAACAACUGCUGCAUCAAGAUGCUGAGUCCUUGCUUUGCCCUGGUCUCCUGUCAGUGACUUUGACAACCAAUUGCAGUCACUUACACCUAUUCAAACAGGGGUAAAGUUUAGGCAAGCAUUACUAGAAAAACGGUUGCUGAAGAAAAAGGAACUAGCCCUUCAAGCAGUAUGUGAAGAAGAGGAAAAAAAGAAAUGCCUUGAACUGCUCCGACAACAGGUUGCUGUUGUUGCAAAAUUAGAUCCAGCUAGAGUAGUGGCUGAUACAGUGGCAUCUAAAGCUCGGAUGGGCAUCGGAACCAAAGAAGAGUUUGAUAUUCAGAAGCCACUGUUUCAGUUGCAUACAUACAAUGAACAGCAGAUCAUUUCUGACCCUAGACUUCGUGUUGAGCUAGCUCUUCGAGAAGCUGGACUUUAUAAAACACUUUAUGCAAAAGAGAUUUUACCAAAAAUUCCUCCACUGAAGCUUCCAAGAAGAGAUAUGGAAUCUACAGCUUUUAAAAUGUGAACACCUCUCAUACCAGGAGUAGAGAAGCUUCAGGGAUAUUGUCUGGCCUAUAAUGUGGAAACUUCAAAUAAAUUUCCCUUAGACCGUGCCAUAGAACUAUGUAGUUCUCGAUGUAUGCAAUCAUUCAAAAAACCAACAUGUCUUUCUCAUGCAGGGUACCCCAUUUUCCACCUGCCUUGGUGAAGGUUGAACAGAGGUUUGGUGGGUGUAGGCUGUUGUGGUGUCAUUUCCCAUGUCCCCUUCUACUGGGAGAUAGGACAACUGUACGUGAAGGCCUCCUCAGACAUUACAGGCCAGUCUGAUGCAUAGCAUCUUGAGUAGGAACUCUGUUUUUUAAUUGGCAGCAUAAAUCCAAAAUAGACUUGCGGAACAGCCACUUUAAAUUGUGACACAUGAAUACAUCCCACGACUUUCAUUGCAGGUUUCUUGAGAAUUUGAUUUUUUUAAUGAAUGUUUUUAUUAUUCCUUGAUUAUUAUAAAAAGAAACUUAACCUUUGUCUAUAUUUAGAAACAAAUUUGCUGCAUCAUAUUUACUGCAAGCCAGUCAUGCAAUUUCAUGUUGCAGAUUAGUCUUUCAGUAUAAAUUAUAAAUUAUAAAUAACAUUUCAGAUCUGGGAUCUUUAUUUUGGAGCUGAAACUACUGAAUAGGGAUCUAUUUAAAUGAAAGGGAAAUAGAUGUGAUUCCAUUUUGUAACUGACUAUGUUUUCAAGUCUUACGUGAGUGUAAAAUGUAUGUAAACAAGUUAUAAUUAGCAGUUUAACCAAACAUUUCUAAGGACGAUGAAUAUCAGAGAGAUCUGAACAUCCAUAGUUGUGUAUCUGGAUAAUUACAGGAAUUUCAUUAAGGUAAUAUUGUAAUGCCUUAUAGGCAUUAACGGAUCACAUGCCUCCAACACCUUGUGAAACAGACAGUAACUGUUGAAGUGAGAGACUGAGGAUCAGGGCAGCUGAGAGCCCAGUCUGUGCUCUCCCAGCGGAGCCCACGGUGCAGGCCCAACAAACACCAAAAGAGAGCGGUUUUACUGCUAGCCACUGUAUAGCACCUCCUUCCCUGGCACAGACAACAGGCCCUCUUCUCUUGACAUAUUUGGUGACUCUACACCAAAUGUUUUGUAAUCAGAGACAAGCAAUGUUGAAUUUUCACACUCAAACUGUUAAUAACAUUGGCAAAAUCUUGUAGCGUGAGCCUGAUCUCAGCAGGUGUCUCAGCACCUGGGGAAGGGAGGUUUGCUCCAGCACGGGUGUGCAAGGGUGCAAAGCCAGAGCAGACGGAGACUGUAAGAAGGGUGCCAGAAAGGCAGGGGAAGAGCACAUGCAACAGACUCCUGAGUGCAAGCAAAUUUAAGACCAGGAUCAACGUAAUGUGAGUAUUGAAGCUAUGUUAUUUUAAUGGGGGAAGAAAAUGCUACAGAGACUGCCCAAAAGCCAUGGGAGCUGUUUGUCUUCUGGAUGUAGCUUUUGCAUGUUUGUGUUAGAAUUACUAUUUUGUGUGUAUUUGUGCAUUUUAUUUUGGUAUCUCAUUUGGGGUAACUUAUUAUUUUUAAAACACACUUGGCCAACUUCACAACUUGUUGGAUGUUCCUGCAGGGAGACCAGCACUGCUUUUCUUCUAUUUAGAGGCCAGAUUGGCUGCUAGACUGCUUUCCCAGAACAGAAGAUUCCAAACUUAAGGCAACUGAUUUUUUUAUUUUUUUUUUUAACUUGCCUUUAAAAACAGAUCUGCGAGAUAGUCUUGGUGGUGGAGAAUCUUUUCAGAUUAUAGUUGUCAUCUUUUAUAAAUUCCAAGACAUUUAUGAAAAAAAGAAAGAUUAAAUGAAGCUGACAUGUUUUUGAAAUAAAGGGCACUGAUUUUUAGGCACUGUCUUGCGAUUGUCUGUUGUUUCUCAGGGAAUAGGCUGAGUAGAAGCCCGCUUACAUACAUGAGUGUGCCAACUCACUGCAACCAUGAGUUGGGGCUUGUUAUUGAUAUGGUGAGGCUGGAAUGAAGAUUUUUAGAAGGAUUUUCAUGUAACAGUGGCGCGUGGAAAACAAGCAGGUCAGUGAAACUUGCUUGAAGUAUUUUGCUUAGCGCACGGAGAGGCUGCUCCUGCAGACUGCCUCAGCCCCUCUCCCUAGCCUGGCCAACUGCCUCUCUCCUGUGCCUCUGUGGGAAGGAAGUGGGUGUUUCCUUUUACUUCGUCAUGCUCACCUUAGCACUGUUCACAAAAGAUGACCAAAUCCCUUCAGGAAAUGGAGAUGCUUAUAAGAAUGUUUGUUUUCAUGAUAAAUGC
Strigops habroptila (Kakapo) is the source of this 4515-nucleotide RNA transcript. It is a transcript of the gene named coiled-coil domain containing 148, with no coding region annotated. The record is from RefSeq and is a predicted model, not a curated record. The transcript is spliced from 16 exons. Lineage: Eukaryota; Metazoa; Chordata; Aves; Psittaciformes; Psittacidae.